CACGCCCUAAACGAUGGAUGCUAGAUUUUGGGAGUAUCGACCCUCCCAGAGUCGGUUAAAAUAGCUAACGCAUUAAGCAUCCCGCCUGGGGAGUACGGCCGCAAGGCUAAAACUCAAAGGAAUAGACGGGGACCCGCACAAGCGGAGGAGCAUGUGGUUUAAUUCGAUGGUAAGCGAGGAACCUCACCUAGGUUUGACAUGUAGCUGCAAGCCGCUGGAAACAGUGGCCGCCUUCGAGGGUGCUACACAGGUGC
RNAcentral lists this ribosomal RNA (254 nucleotides) under uncultured Parcubacteria group bacterium. RNAcentral describes it as "partial 16S ribosomal RNA". It matches the Rfam family "Bacterial small subunit ribosomal RNA", at positions 796 to 1041 of the family's 1533-position model. The record is from RNAcentral.